RNAcentral lists this ribosomal RNA (253 nucleotides) under uncultured bacterium. RNAcentral describes it as "partial 16S ribosomal RNA". It matches the Rfam family "Bacterial small subunit ribosomal RNA", at positions 524 to 776 of the family's 1533-position model. The record is from RNAcentral.
UACGUAGGGGGCAAGCGUUGUCCGGAAUCAUUGGGCGUAAAGAGCGUGUAGGCGGCCCGAUAAGUCCGCUGUGAAAGUCCAGGGCUCAACCCUGGGAUGCCGGUGGAUACUGUCGGGCUCGAGUCCGGAAGAGGCGAGUGGAAUUCCUGGUGUAGCGGUGGAAUGCGCAGAUAUCAGGAGGAACACCAAUGGCGAAGGCAGCACUCUGGGACGUGACUGACGCUGAGACGCGAAAGCGUGGGGAGCAAACAGG